CAGUAGCCGCGGGAAUACGUAGGGUGCGAGCGUUAAUCGGAAUCACUGGGCGUAAAGCGUGCGCAGGCGGUUAUAUAAGAUAGAUGUGAAAUCCCCGGGCUCAACCUGGGACCUGCAUUUGUGACUGUAUAGCUAGAGUACGGUAGAGGGGGAUGGAAUUCCGCGUGUAGCAGUGAAGUGCGUAGAUAUGCGGAGGAACACCGAUGGCGAAGGCAAUCCCCUGGACCUGUACUGACGCUCAUGCACGAAAGCGUGGGGAGCAAACAGGAUUAGAUACCCCUGUAGUCCCUGUCUCUUAUAC
RNAcentral lists this ribosomal RNA (301 nucleotides) under uncultured bacterium. Its description in RNAcentral is "partial 16S ribosomal RNA". It matches the Rfam family "Bacterial small subunit ribosomal RNA", at positions 509 to 807 of the family's 1533-position model. The record is from RNAcentral.